AUCUUGUCCCAGCUGAUCCAGAAUCCUUCCUUUGGGGAAUGAAAUGUCUGAGCCCUCUACAGAAUGAAAGAAAAGGAGCACUAAGGCCAAGCAGUGACAGGCACCAUUUGGAAAGGUUGAAAUUAAGACGAGUGAAGACUUUGAAGACAGAAGACCUCAUGAUGUUCUAUUCAAGCUUCAGGCCCUAGUGAAGCAAAAGAUUUGCCCUUGGAGUCAUUGCUCAAAAUUCCCUCCCCCACUUCCUGACAUAUCAGAGGUGCCAGAGAUGAAGUUUUCAGGCUGUCCAUGCCUUGGUGUUUUAGGUGUAAGCAUACCUUUGCUGGGGAGGGAAGCAACAGGAAUAACUGUACUUAAAAGUGACUGUUUUCAAACCAGGUGAAUUCUGUGUUGUGAGAGGAAAAACAUUGAUCUGAGUCUUCAGCCUGCAUCUCUGUCAUCUUGAGACUUUAGUAAAUAUAAGAAAAAGUCUUCCAAAAUAUGUAGGUUCAGACUACCUGUGUUACUAUUGCUA
This 511-nucleotide long non-coding RNA is filed under the name Chloebia gouldiae (Gouldian finch). RNAcentral describes it as "Erythrura gouldiae (Gouldian finch) lncRNA (ENSEGOG00005000385.1)". Lineage: Eukaryota; Metazoa; Chordata; Aves; Passeriformes; Passeridae. The record is from RNAcentral.